This 1015-nucleotide long non-coding RNA is filed under the name Sus scrofa (pig). RNAcentral's name for it is "lncRNA (ENSSSCG00070017081.1)". The record is from RNAcentral. Lineage: Eukaryota; Metazoa; Chordata; Mammalia; Artiodactyla; Suidae.
AGCACAAGUACAGCUAAGAGGCCAAGGGCAGGCUUUUGAGCCAAAGCCAAGCAUCUAAAGCCUGGCCAGCAGCUUAAGAGUGGGCUGGAGCCACAAUGACGCAUAAUAAGCAUACUCCCUAGUGCAUUUUGCUGUCAGAUGCUCUCCUGCUUGUGCGCGCGUGCGCAUACAUGCGCACAUGCACGCUAGCUCGCUCUCUCUCAUUUACCUUAAAGAGAGAUGGAAAAGAAGAGAACCUGCAGGAAGCAGAAAUAAGGCAGUAAACAGAAGCCCGAGACUCCGAGGCAAUAGAGACUGUUUUCAGCGGCAGCAAAGAGUCUGCAGGUUGGAGACCAUCUGGAGGACAUGCCUAUCAGAACUAAGACGGGAAAGAUGAGUAGAAAUUGAUCAGGCCAGUGAAGAGGGUGGACACCUGCCUCCCAGCCAAGCAUUCUACCCCGUGUGUGAGCGAGGGAAUGAAAGCAGGUGAGGCCAGAGACGUUUUCAGUUAACUAUGGACGAUUGCUAGAAUCAACAAUUUUGACCUACAACAAUGGCCAUUUCAUAUGAUUCUCCCUAUCAACAGGGUUCAGUUACAGACAACUUUGUGUUAAUUCCAGGUCGGAGAAUUUUGCACUUUAUCUUCCUUGGGAUGGAAAAGUAAUGAAGAAUUGUGACGAGGUGAGUUUCUCGCUCAAAUUUUUUUUUUUUUUAUUUUACUUUUCAGGGCCGAACCUGUGGCACAGCCUAUGCCACAACCACAGCAAUGUGAGAUCGGAGCCACAUCUGCAACCUACACCACAGCUCAUGGCAAUGCUGGAUCCUUAACCCACUGAGCAAGACCAGGGAUUGAACCCACAUCCUCAUGGAUACUAAUCGGAUUCGUUACCCCUGAGCCAUGACGGAACUCCAAGAUCCAGUGUUUACUUUACAUGCUUUUUGAGAGAUGCCUUUAAAAAAAAAUCUUAACAUUAUAAAUCAACCACACUUUAAUUAAAAGAAUAAAAAUAAUCUUACUUGGACGUCUAAAAUAUGA